Molecule: ribosomal RNA, 402 nt
Filed under: bacterium
Lineage: Bacteria
Description: partial 16S ribosomal RNA
Rfam family: Bacterial small subunit ribosomal RNA
Source: RNAcentral
GGGGGAAUUUUGCACAAUGGGGGAAACCCUGAUGCAGCGACGCCGCUUGAUUUAGAAGGCCUUCGGGUUGUAAAAAUCUUUUCUAUGGGAAGAAAAUGACAGUACCAUAGGAAUAAGGACCGGCUAACUACGUGCCAGCAGCCGCGGUAAUACGUAAGGGCCGAGCGUUGUCCGGAAUCAUUGGGCGUAAAGGGUACGUAGGCGGGUAAGCAAGUUAGAAGUGAAAUCCUAUAGCUCAACUAUAGUAAGCUUUUAAAACUGCUCAUCUUGAGGUAUGGAAGGGAAAGUGGAAUUCCUAGUGUAGAGGUGAAAUGCGCAGAUAUUAGGAGGAAUACCGGUGGCGAAGGCGACUUUCUGGCCAUAACCAGACGCUGAGGUACGAAAGCGUGGGUAGCAAACAGG